GGGUUGUGAGGUUAAGCGACUAAGCGUACACGGUGGAUGCCCUGGCAGUCAGAGGCGAUGAAGGACGUGCUAAUCUGCGAUAAGCGUCGGUAAGGUGAUAUGAACCGUUAUAACCGGCGAUUUCCGAAUGGGGAAACCCAGUGUGUUUCGACACACUAUCAUUAACUGAAUCCAUAGGUUAAUGAGGCGAACCGGGGGAACUGAAACAUCUAAGUACCCCGAGGAAAAGAAAUCAACCGAGAUUCCCCCAGUAGCGGCGAGCGAACGGGGAGCAGCCCAGAGCCUGAAUCAGUGUGUGUGUUAGUGGAAGCGUCUGGAAAGGCGCGCGAUACAGGGUGACAGCCCCGUACACAAAAAUGCACAUGCUGUGAGCUCGAUGAGUAGGGCGGGACACGUGGUAUCCUGUCUGAAUAUGGGGGGACCAUCCUCCAAGGCUAAAUACUCCUGACUGACCGAUAGUGAACCAGUACCGUGAGGGAAAGGCGAAAAGAACCCCGGCGAGGGGAGUGAAAAAGAACCUGAAACCGUGUACGUACAAGCAGUGGGAGCACGCUUAGGCGUGUGACUGCGUACCUUUUGUAUAAUGGGUCAGCGACUUAUAUUCUGUAGCAAGGUUAACCGAAUAGGGGAGCCGAAGGGAAACCGAGUCUUAACUGGGCGUUAAGUUGCAGGGUAUAGACCCGAAACCCGGUGAUCUAGCCAUGGGCAGGUUGAAGGUUGGGUAACACUAACUGGAGGACCGAACCGACUAAUGUUGAAAAAUUAGCGGAUGACUUGUGGCUGGGGGUGAAAGGCCAAUCAAACCGGGAGAUAGCUGGUUCUCCCCGAAAGCUAUUUAGGUAGCGCCUCGUGAAUUCAUCUCCGGGGGUAGAGCACUGUUUCGGCAAGGGGGUCAUCCCGACUUACCAACCCGAUGCAAACUGCGAAUACCGGAGAAUGUUAUCACGGGAGACACACGGCGGGUGCUAACGUCCGUCGUGAAGAGGGAAACAACCCAGACCGCCAGCUAAGGUCCCAAAGUCAUGGUUAAGUGGGAAACGAUGUGGGAAGGCCCAGACAGCCAGGAUGUUGGCUUAGAAGCAGCCAUCAUUUAAAGAAAGCGUAAUAGCUCACUGGUCGAGUCGGCCUGCGCGGAAGAUGUAACGGGGCUAAACCAUGCACCGAAGCUGCGGCAGCGACGCUUAUGCGUUGUUGGGUAGGGGAGCGUUCUGUAAGCCUGUGAAGGUGUGCUGUGAGGCAUGCUGGAGGUAUCAGAAGUGCGAAUGCUGACAUAAGUAACGAUAAAGCGGGUGAAAAGCCCGCUCGCCGGAAGACCAAGGGUUCCUGUCCAACGUUAAUCGGGGCAGGGUGAGUCGACCCCUAAGGCGAGGCCGAAAGGCGUAGUCGAUGGGAAACAGGUUAAUAUUCCUGUACUUGGUGUUACUGCGAAGGGGGGACGGAGAAGGCUAUGUUGGCCGGGCGACGGUUGUCCCGGUUUAAGCGUGUAGGCUGGUUUUCCAGGCAAAUCCGGAAAAUCAAGGCUGAGGCGUGAUGACGAGGCACUACGGUGCUGAAGCAACAAAUGCCCUGCUUCCAGGAAAAGCCUCUAAGCAUCAGGUAACAUCAAAUCGUACCCCAAACCGACACAGGUGGUCAGGUAGAGAAUACCAAGGCGCUUGAGAGAACUCGGGUGAAGGAACUAGGCAAAAUGGUGCCGUAACUUCGGGAGAAGGCACGCUGAUAUGUAGGUGAGGUCCCUCGCGGAUGGAGCUGAAAUCAGUCGAAGAUACCAGCUGGCUGCAACUGUUUAUUAAAAACACAGCACUGUGCAAACACGAAAGUGGACGUAUACGGUGUGACGCCUGCCCGGUGCCGGAAGGUUAAUUGAUGGGGUUAGCGCAAGCGAAGCUCUUGAUCGAAGCCCCGGUAAACGGCGGCCGUAACUAUAACGGUCCUAAGGUAGCGAAAUUCCUUGUCGGGUAAGUUCCGACCUGCACGAAUGGCGUAAUGAUGGCCAGGCUGUCUCCACCCGAGACUCAGUGAAAUUGAACUCGCUGUGAAGAUGCAGUGUACCCGCGGCAAGACGGAAAGACCCCGUGAACCUUUACUAUAGCUUGACACUGAACAUUGAGCCUUGAUGUGUAGGAUAGGUGGGAGGCUUAGAAGUGUGGACGCCAGUCUGCAUGGAGCCGACCUUGAAAUACCACCCUUUAAUGUUUGAUGUUCUAACGUUGACCCGUAAUCCGGGUUGCGGACAGUGUCUGGUGGGUAGUUUGACUGGGGCGGUCUCCUCCUAAAGAGUAACGGAGGAGCACGAAGGUUGGCUAAUCCUGGUCGGACAUCAGGAGGUUAGUGCAAUGGCAUAAGCCAGCUUGACUGCGAGCGUGACGGCGCGAGCAGGUGCGAAAGCAGGUCAUAGUGAUCCGGUGGUUCUGAAUGGAAGGGCCAUCGCUCAACGGAUAAAAGGUACUCCGGGGAUAACAGGCUGAUACCGCCCAAGAGUUCAUAUCGACGGCGGUGUUUGGCACCUCGAUGUCGGCUCAUCACAUCCUGGGGCUGAAGUAGGUCCCAAGGGUAUGGCUGUUCGCCAUUUAAAGUGGUACGCGAGCUGGGUUUAGAACGUCGUGAGACAGUUCGGUCCCUAUCUGCCGUGGGCGCUGGAGAACUGAGGGGGGCUGCUCCUAGUACGAGAGGACCGGAGUGGACGCAUCACUGGUGUUCGGGUUGUCAUGCCAAUGGCACUGCCCGGUAGCUAAAUGCGGAAGAGAUAAGUGCUGAAAGCAUCUAAGCACGAAACUUGCCCCGAGAUGAGUUCUCCCUGACUCCUUGAGAGUCCUGAAGGAACGUUGAAGACGACGACGUUGAUAGGCCGGGUGUGUAAGCGCAGCGAUGCGUUGAGCUAACCGGUACUAAUGAACCGUGAGGCUUAACCUUACAACGCCGAAGCUGUU
RNAcentral lists this ribosomal RNA (2930 nucleotides) under Escherichia coli. RNAcentral describes it as "23S ribosomal RNA". It matches the Rfam family "Bacterial large subunit ribosomal RNA". Lineage: Bacteria; Pseudomonadati; Pseudomonadota; Gammaproteobacteria; Enterobacterales; Enterobacteriaceae. The record is from RNAcentral.